RNA transcript from Heterocephalus glaber (naked mole-rat), 1372 nucleotides. It is a transcript of the gene named MCTS1 re-initiation and release factor, with no coding region annotated. NCBI's taxonomy places the organism in Eukaryota, Metazoa, Chordata, Mammalia, Rodentia, Bathyergidae. The record is from RefSeq and is a predicted model, not a curated record.
ACAUGCGGUGGCCUCCAUCGGCUGCUCACAAAGGCGGUGGGGAUGAGGGUGGGGAAGAGGGUGAGAGCAACGAUCCUCUUUCUCUCUCCCCCGCCCCUGCCAUCCUGACUCCCUAAGGUUUCCUAUAGUACUAUGCUGUCACUCGCAACUUGCAACACUUCUUUAAGCUUUCUAUCCCUAAUCCUCGAUCGGAUUUUGGUCCCUUUACUCCCAUUUUCCUUCUCCUUACCUCCCUUUUCUUUUGCCCCCUCCCGCAAUUCUGUCUCCACUCCUAGGGUUCUACCAAUCACAUCCUUGUACUGUGAUUUAGGGGCAUAUCCUCUUGAGGUGAGAGGGGAGCCCUGCACUCGCUGCCAUAUGUUUAUUAGUUAUGAACUGAAUAAGGGAAGGCUUGACUUCCUGGGUCAUGGGAGUGAAGGAGUCUGGGUGACAGGAAGCAAGCGGCCUGUCAUGCCUAUUGUCUAGCUGCCAGGUUAACUUUGUCUUGAAAAUAACGUGAUUACCCCGUAGGUUAUUCAGUGUAAGGAAGACAAAAUUCCUUGGGAUCCUACGUAGUGAGUUUGCCCUCCAGUUUUGGUAGACGCAAAAAGCAAAGGGGGAACAUGGGCAAAGGAAGAUUUGAUGAAAAAGAAAAUGUGUCCAACUGCAUCCAGUUGAAAACCUCAGUUAUUAAGGGUAUUAAGAAUCAGUUGAUAGAGCAAUUUCCAGGUAUUGAACCAUGGCUUAAUCAAAUCAUGCCUAAGAAAGAUCCUGUCAAAAUAGUCCGAUGCCAUGAACAUAUAGAAAUCCUUACGGUAAAUGGAGAAUUACUAUUUUUUAGACAAAGAGAAGGGCCUUUUUAUCCAACUCUAAGGUUACUUCACAAAUAUCCUUUUAUCCUGCCACACCAGCAGGUUGAUAAAGGAGCCAUCAAAUUUGUACUCAGUGGAGCAAAUAUUAUGUGUCCUGGUUUAACUUCUCCAGGAGCUAAGCUUUAUCCUGCUGCAGUAGAUACUAUUGUUGCAAUCAUGGCAGAAGGAAAACAGCAUGCUUUAUGUGUUGGAGUCAUGAAGAUGUCUGCAAACGACAUUUAGGAAGCCAUUGAAGCCUAGUUUGUCUUCAGGAUUGCAUUGUUUCUAAGCACGCUGAAAAGAACCCAUUGCUAGGACAGCUGUUUUGUACGUAUUGAGAAAGUCAACAAAGGAAUUGGCAUUGAAAAUAUCCAUUAUUUAAAUGAUGGGCUGUGGCAUAUGAAGACAUAUAAAUGAGCCUCAUAAGGAAUGCACUUGGGCUAAAUAUGGAUAUUGUGCUAUAGCUGUGUUUGUGUCUCUGUGUGACAGCAUGAAGACAAUGCCUCUGUGGUUAUGCUGAAUAAAUUCUAUAGAUGCUAAAA